UAGUAACCAAUAUAUAGGCGG
RNAcentral lists this non-coding RNA (21 nucleotides) under Caenorhabditis elegans. The record is from RNAcentral. Lineage: Eukaryota; Metazoa; Nematoda; Chromadorea; Rhabditida; Rhabditidae.